Molecule: unclassified non-coding RNA, 172 nt
Filed under: uncultured Mycena
Lineage: Eukaryota; Fungi; Basidiomycota; Agaricomycetes; Agaricales; Tricholomataceae
Description: sequence contains ITS1
Source: RNAcentral
UCGUAACAAAAUGUGCACAUCUUGUGGUCUUGAAUUUGAAACCUCUCGCAUUCGUGCGGUCUGGGAGUCUGAAUAAACCCUGCUCCUGCUUCGUUCAAGAUCAUGUUUUCAUAUACACUAUAAAGUUACAGAAUGUCUUUUAACGAUUGCGCAAGCAGUCAUUAAACCUAUA